RNAcentral lists this ribosomal RNA (465 nucleotides) under uncultured Klebsiella sp. RNAcentral describes it as "bacterial SSU rRNA". It matches the Rfam family "Bacterial small subunit ribosomal RNA", at positions 338 to 795 of the family's 1533-position model. Lineage: Bacteria; Pseudomonadati; Pseudomonadota; Gammaproteobacteria; Enterobacterales; Enterobacteriaceae. The record is from RNAcentral.
CCUACGGGAGGCAGCAGUGGGGAAUAUUGCACAAUGGGCGCAGGCCUGAUGCAGCCAUGCCGCGUGUGUGAAGAAGGCCUUCGGGUUGUAAAGCACUUUCAGCGGGGAGGAAGGCGGUGAGGUUAAUAACCUCAUCGAUUGACGUUACCCGCAGAAGAAGCACCGGCUAACUCCGUGCCAGCAGCCGCGGUAAUACGGAGGGUGCAAGCGUUAAUCGGAAUUACUGGGCGUAAAGCGCACGCAGGCGGUCUGUCAAGUCGGAUGUGAGAUCCCCGGGCUCAACCUGGGAACUGCAUUCGAAACUGGCAGGCUAGAGUCUUGUAGAGGGGGGUAGAAUUCCAGGUGUAGCGGUGAAAUGCGUAGAGAUCUGGAGGAAUACCGGUGGCGAAGGCGGCCCCCUGGACAAAGACUGACGCUCAGGUGCGAAAGCGUGGGGAGCAAACAGGAUUAGAUACCCUAGUAGUC